AACGAACGCUGGCGGCAUGCCUAACACAUGCAAGUCGAACGACACCUUCGGGUCUAGUUGCUCACGGGUGCGUAACGCGUGGGAACCUGCCCUUAGGUUCGGAAUACUUCCCUGACAGGGGUGCUAAUAUCGGAUAACGUCUUCGGAUCAAAGAUUCAUCGCCUUUGUAUGGGCCCGCGUUGGUUUAGCCUGCUGGUAGGGUAAAAGCCUAUCAAGGCGACGAUCCAUAGCUGGUCUGAGAGAAUGAGCAGCCACACUUGGUGUAGGCAACGGCCCAGAAUACUACGGGAUGGAGGAGUGCGGGAUAUUGCAAUACCGGCUGAGGGCUGAUCCAGCACGGCCGGGUGAGUGCUGAAGGCCGUAAGGUAGUAAAGCUCUUUUACCCGGGAUGAUACUGACGGUACCGAGAGAAUAAGCACCGGCUAACUCCGUG
This 433-nucleotide ribosomal RNA is filed under the name uncultured bacterium. RNAcentral describes it as "partial 16S ribosomal RNA". It matches the Rfam family "Bacterial small subunit ribosomal RNA", at positions 29 to 507 of the family's 1533-position model. The record is from RNAcentral.